Molecule: RNA transcript, 6425 nt
Organism: Egretta garzetta (little egret)
Lineage: Eukaryota; Metazoa; Chordata; Aves; Pelecaniformes; Ardeidae
Gene: PSMA3
Gene name: proteasome 20S subunit alpha 3
Exons: 12
Source: RefSeq, a predicted model, not a curated record
UUUUUUUUCUGAGUAUUGUGUUUUCUUCUUCAGUACGACCUGUCAGCUUCCACGUUUUCUCCAGAUGGCAGAGUAUUUCAAGUCGAGUAUGCUAUGAAAGCUGUGGAGAAUAGCAGUACAGCAAUUGGGAUAAGAUGCAAAGACGGUGUUGUCUUCGGAGUAGAAAAACUAGUUCUGUCUAAGCUUUAUGAAGAGGGUUCCAAUAAACGUCUCUUUAAUGUCGAUCGACAUGUUGGAAUGGCAGUAGCGGGACUUCUGGCAGAUGCUCGUUCUUUGGCGGACAUAGCUAGAGAAGAGGCUUCUAACUUUAGGUCUAACUACGGCUACGAUAUUCCACUGAAGCAUCUUGCAGACAGAGUGGCUAUGUAUGUGCAUGCAUACACACUAUACAGUGCUGUCAGACCUUUUGGUUGCAGUUUCAUGCUGGGGUCCUAUGAUGAUGAUGAUGGUGCACAACUAUACAUGAUUGAUCCAUCAGGAGUUUCAUACGGUUAUUGGGGGUGUGCCAUCGGUAAAGCCAGGCAGGCUGCAAAAACAGAGAUAGAAAAACUUCAGAUGAAGGAAAUGACCUGCCGUGAUGUUGUUAAAGAGGUUGCAAAAAUAAUCUACAUAGUUCACGAUGAAGUAAAGGAUAAAGCUUUUGAGCUGGAACUCAGCUGGGUUGGAGAAAUAACCAAUGGAAAACAUGAAAUUGUUCCCAAAGACAUCAGGGAAGAAGCAGAAAAAUACGCCAAGGAAUCUUUGAAAGAGGAAGAUGAAUCAGACGAUGACAAUAUGUAACACAUUGUUACUUCAAGACAAGUUCAACUUUUCUUAACUUAGAACAGAAAAAAAAGACUGUCUAUUCUAGUCACUUCAAAGUCCUGAAAGGCAAGAUCUGAAGCAUGCCAAGCACCAGGUCAUUUGUUGCUUCCUUCUCAUGGACAAAAAGAGCUUGAUGGCCUGAGGGUAAGAGCUCCGCAUGCUGGAAGCGUGACUGUCCCGAGGGACGCAAUCCUGCUUGAGAUGCUGUCGGGCUACAUAGAGCGAGUGACCCUUAAGGAAGAUUUAGAAUAACUACAUACGCUGUUUUGAAAGUCUCUUCCUCAAGAUAAAACUGUAACUACAGAAGGGAAUGCAAACCAGUGAAUUCAGCAAUGCAUCUUAAGCAUUUAUCAGCUGGAAGAUAAUCGUGACCUUAAAUACGGUGCAGAGUUUCAAGAUCCUGAAGAGAAAAAUAGUAUUAGUUGUCAUAAAAAUUUUGAGACUGUAAUAGCACCAGAAAUACAGUAUGGAGACUGUUCUCUCCCCUUCAUUUUCUUCCUUCAGUGGCGUAUGCCAGUAAGACAAGGACUAGCUUUUCCUCCACCCACCAGUUUUUCAGGUUACAUGCAGCAAGGAAGUUACUUUUACUGAAGAAUCCAGAGCUAUUUUGAGACACCAACUGCUUGUAUCUUUCCAUCAUAAAAGCUCUUGCUACCUAUUAUGGCUAAUUAUACAGCGUUGCAGAAAACUGGUGGUAGAAGAGCUAAGAGUGUAGCCUUACUGCUUGUCCAGUAAAUACAUUCUGGCAUUUGAGAAGAUGGGAUCUACAACCAGGCUCAAACCAAGUCUCGUAUUUCCAGAUGGACUACGCAACCACCAUGCAGAGCUCUUUCAUCUUCGGUACAUUGCUAUUAAAGGACUCCGGAACAGUUGUUUAAAAAUGGUUCUUACAAGUUGCUGUGCCAACCAAAAAUGGACAGCUAGAAUGAAGCAGGCAGCAGCAUCACACAGUUUAUAGUCCAAACGUGCAUAUAAUCAGAUAAAGGAAAAACUGAAGUCUCCCCUAAAGAGAGCAUAAGAACCACCCACUGAAAAUACCAUUUUAGGUAAGACAACCCAAGUAAGGGUUUAGAAAGAACAUGGGGUGCUUUAUUGCUGCAUAAAGAUAGAUAUAAUUUGGUAUAUAUGUACUGUCUGCAUAUCCAAAAUAUUUCAUUACGGUACCAGUUUCAGCAGAUUAAUAGUAGGUUCAGUUACAGUAAGCUGAUACAUUCCAAACACACAUACACAAAACCCAAAAACCCACCCAAGUGAUGCCCAAGUUUUUGAAAGUGAAAUUUAUCUUGUUCGCAGGGUUUUUAGACAAGCAGGAAUCUGCUACUUGCAUUAUUUCAGGGAAGGACAGAGACCUAUUACAUUAGAGUGCAUUAACAGGUGUCAAGAGCAGCAGAGGAAGCGCUAGAUGACUUUUAACAGAAUGCUUACAUAAACCUCCAUUUCAGCUCUAAUUCUAGGUGUUUCCACUCUACAAAGCACACCACGCCAGAGACUAUUUUUCCCAAAUAAUUUUCUAUAUACAUCAGCAACAGAAAAAAAAAAUCUGAAAUACUGUUUUAGGAGGCAGAAUCAAAAUGUAGCUUAAUGUCUUUCCUGUCAGUCAGUUUAACAAGCAACUACUUCCCCCAGCCAAAUGCUUGUUUCUGCGCUCAUACCAGUUUGUCCCCCGUUGUGCUGCUUGAUCCAGAAUAAUUAAACUCUCCAAAAAGACAGAUAUUUUGUUCCUUCAGAGUUCUGGAUGUCACACAACACAGCUCAUUUCAGUGGUGCUGUUUACAGCUGUACUGGUGUAACUAAUGGGCUGACAGACUACACAGCAGCACUGCAGAGGAAGGCACAUCCCUGAAGGCACAACCCUUCUGCAGACAGUAUAGUCUUGCAAUUAAUUCACAGGUUAAGUGUGUAUUACACAGUGUUGAUUGGUCAGCUAACUCCCUGGCCAGCUGUAAAUUAGCUACCGUAAUAAUAUCCUCCAAACAAUACAGACAAAUAAAAAGUAUCUUUGGAAAAAGGUGGCUAAGUAGGAAAAAAUUCAGAAGUAAAUCACUGGCCAAACUGUAGAUUCUCACUAACAGCAGCUACUUAUAGCUAAAACCACUUAAUUCAAAAGACUAAGGGCAUUAAUACUUUUAGAAAAGAAUCCACACUGACCAGUCUUGUUAGCUGAGGCUGAAAAGUAAGUUAACCCUAAGUGGUUAAAGUAAUUUGGAGAAGCAAAAGCCCUAGAAGAAAGGCCACAUAACCAGUGCCCUCACAAGCUUGCUUUUACGGAGCAACCAUGCUUUGCAGAAGUAGCACUAAGCUCCUUUGUGCUAGGCUGCGUACACACUGGUUACACGUAAAAGCCACGCAUCCACACUCCUGAUUCCGUCACAUCACACUGCUCUGCGACCUGCAUCUGUAACGAUCCGUUAUUUUAAUCAACAGUUUGUCAGUGCUGACAAGCUUGAGAGUGACACUUGGACCACCUCCAAGGACUCGCCAUCAGUGUUAGAAACCUUUUUUUUUCAUCUCUGCAAGUAUCAAUGGAUAUAUUUGAGUAAAAAUCCAGACUGAUAAGCCACUUAGCAGCGGCUAAGUGAAAAAGCUUGUGUAUUUGAGAACAUAGCUCUUAAGAGCUUUAUUUCCUUCUUGUACUUUUUUAACACGGCUAUUUCUGCAGCAAGAAGUCUUAUGGGAGGGGAAGCCUUCCAAGAUAUAAACUAGGAACAGGGAGCAUAAAUGAGGAAGAUUUGUACUCCAGACUGGCCGUGACAGAUCACUCAAAACUACUGAAAAACAAGACAACCCUGAAUCUACUAGCACAGGUAUUGAGAAAUUAAUCCAACCAAGGUUUGUUCUCUUUGCCAAAGUGAAACAGCAACCUAUUUCAGCUCUCUAACAUCAGCAGCAAUCUACAUCUGAGAUAUGGAUGGCAUUAGACACCCAUUUGGUAUGUUUACUCCCAGUUUGGUGUCACAAAAGGCUGAAAAAGGGACCAUGGCAUUGCUCUAAAGUAGAUCUCAGAAGUUAAAUAUUUAAGGAGGAAUGCCUUCUAUUUCAGAAGCUUAACUAAUUCAAAAGAUUGCAGUAGGGUUCUUCAAAUACAACAUGCAACCUCACGUAAACGUUAAAACUUUAAAGACUUUCUCCUGUUGGUUUUCAUAGCACUGAAAUAUGUAAUUGCCACUCCCAAAAGCACACGGGUUUUGCAUUCAGGUUUCUCCCCGUAUGUUUGAUUUAGAUGGGAGGUUACUCAAGCAGUAGUAUUUAUAAACAAGAUUUGACUCUUCGGAAGAAUAAAGACAGUUUAGAGACUCAGAUGCAAGUUUAAAUGUUUCCAACUUAAGUUUAUUUCAGGAACACUAAAACUGUAUUUGCUCUGUAGACUGCUGACUGACUAUAUUUACACAGAAAACCACUCCCCUAAUCCUGUAGAAAAACGCUCUCUUCUCACCUCGAAAGAGCAAAACUUCCACAGAUAAAAAUGUUCACAUCAGUAAUAAUGUCUACAGCUCGGAAGCCAGGAGAAAAAAAGCCACAUGCUGUAGAGGUAAUUUGGAAGCCAGUUUAGAAGUUCAGAGAGUUUUAAAACCUCAAUUUUACAACACUGGAAUAGCGGAUGCACUGACACAGCCCAUAUGUGCACAUGCAUAAGAUACAUUUCUAGUGCUAACUAUGUCCUGUGCCUGUCAAAAAAAAAGUUAUUCAUAAAGCCUGAAACAGAAGGUUUGAUUACUCACUGAACAACAGGUAGAUCUAAUCCUUCGCCUUUACAGCUGGCAUUCACAGACAAACUGUUAUUUUGAAAAAUAUGUAAGGAUGCUCUCCUUCGGCAGCCGUGUGGAGUAACAUUACUACCCAGAACAGUAACUACACUCGCGUUUGACUUCAAGCAUCUACUUCAGGUUUUGAAAGAGAGACUCAUCACUCGAUUGCAGAUGACGACAACUGAAGUCCUUUGCCACAUCUAAAUUAAAGCUGCUGUAAAUCUCCAGCUUCUCUGUAGGACUGUGUGCUAUUGUUUCACAACACUGCACGACUUCCCCAGCGUAGCUGUAAUAGCCUCACUGAUGUCACUGACUUGAACCUGUAGUCCUUAGAAGUAAUACAAGAAAUUAAGGGGAUUUGUAAUCAAAUUCCCUAUCUUGCAUCCCUUUGCUAGGCAACAGAAGAGAAAUUAAACACCUAUAUUUGGAUAAUUGAAUAGCACAUGCCAAAACAUGCAAAAACUGGCUUUAGAAGCCAAUCUUAAGUAAACCCUGGCAACGGGCACCCUUCUUCCAUAGUUGCUAAAUUAGCUAAUGUUAACAUUUGAUACAAAUAUGCGAGCUAUCGUAAUAGAAAAUUACAUACCAGAAAGAAUAAAAAUAGUCUCUUACAAUACAGCUCUUACUCUGUCCAAACAUAAGAUUACCAAAUCAGUCUUAAAAAAAGGAACAUUUUAUGUUUGGAAUUAAAAGAUUGCAUGAUACAUGCCAGAACACCCCCGCACAGCUAACAGGCUAGGAUGAAAGCAGCAGUUACAUCAGUUGAGAACUCAUCCCUCUUCUCUCAGUGCUGGGCUUCUAAUAACACACAUCAGGUAAUGCAUCACUGGUUUCUGCACACAUUUUACAACACAUGGGAUUGCAGUUAAGAUCUGCAGCCGCAAAGCACAACAAAGUCUGGACAUCGUUUAUUCAGUAGAAAUAGGACUACUUCUCCCUGGAGAUCUCUGAAGCCGUUAACAGGAGCUACUCUGACAGGCUGAGCACAUAACAUCAGUUUAUUAGCAUUACUGGAAAAAAAAGCAACUACAAAGUGAGUGUUAUUGUUAGCUGCAGAGCUGACAGGAAACCAAAUUCUGAGAUUUUUCUCACACAAAUAUUUACGAGAGAGUACUCUGUGUUGUAAAUAUUUUCAUGAUUAUUCCUAUCCAGAAGAGAUACUGCACUGCUUCAAAACAUACCCAUACCAGAUUCAAGAAGCCACUACUAAACUUCAGUGGAUAUAAUGCACUGUUUCAGGCUUCCCAAGGGUUACUAAACUUUGUGUCUUCUCCAGCAUCAACACUCACAAGGAAAUGAUGCAAACCAGCAUGCACAGUUAUGUUUGAAUAACUAAAUAUCCAUUUUUCUCAACAUGGGGACAGGAACAUGCCAGAGCUGGGGAAACUGUAAGUAGACAUUUAGCAUUACCAAGUAUUUUUGUUUGGGGUUUUUUUUCCCCAUUUUCUCUCUCUCACUCACUCACAUACGAUAAUAAAUAGGAAGGAACUUAACUGCUGAUAGUUAACAGUAAAGCACAAUUUUCUCCAUGACUAAGAAAGAAGGUUUGACCUUUAAUUUUUCUAAUGCACCUAUUUUACUGACUGAAUUUUUCUGUUGUCAACUUCAACAUUUGUUGGGAUUUCUUCCUUUAUACCUGCACACUAAGUACUACACAACUUCUUACCACGCUCUUGUCUGCACAGUUUGCAAUCACUUAGAUAGUAAAGCUUUGUGGGAAGCAUCUGACCUUCGUUUGUACAGAAAUACAGCAGUUCCACACAGACAGGGGUUCUGAACCGCAAGGCAGAUGCUUGCUCAACCACCACUGGAAAAAAUGUUGCCUAUUUACUUACAGAAUAGAAACACCAAGGGGAAGAGCAUUAAAAAAAAAAA